UGAAGGAUAACAGGUUCUUGAAUCCUAAGAGCUCCUAUGGAAGGAUUCUGACGGCACCUCCAUGUCGGCUCAUCU
Molecule: ribosomal RNA, 75 nt
Filed under: Scrippsiella hangoei
Lineage: Eukaryota; Dinophyceae; Peridiniales; Peridiniaceae
Description: partial Bacterial large subunit ribosomal RNA
Source: RNAcentral